Molecule: long non-coding RNA, 507 nt
Organism: Saccostrea cuccullata (small rock oyster)
Lineage: Eukaryota; Metazoa; Mollusca; Bivalvia; Ostreida; Ostreidae
Exons: 3
Source: RefSeq, a predicted model, not a curated record
CACUCCCAAUCUAACUCUGAGGCAUUAGAUUAGGAUUUGCUCACUGGUCAGUUUCAGAGUCAUAGUAACCUUGUUAUGCAAUUCUCCUGCUGUUCAGCACGUUGUUUGCAGCUUAUCUAGGUCAACAUUUGAAUUCUGAUAAACAAGAUGUGCGCGUUUUCUUGUUGCCGAUUUAAAAGAAAAGACUUUGCAUCAUAUAAGCAACAAAAAUAAGUGCUGGACUAUUAACUCUACUCGCUACUGUCAGGUCCAUCUUCAUUAUCAACAUCUGAGUUAAAAUUUCAUUCAAAAUGCCACAUUCGAAAGACCCGCCUUUGGUGAAGACAAAAUUUGUGGUGCUACACAAAUAAAGAGCUUAAUUAUAUCAGAGGAUAGACUUCUUAAAUGGGAGCCUUUUCAGUGUUUGUGUGUUUCAGUAAUGGAUCCACCACGCUGCUGAUUCUAUAGUGAACAAAUGUUGGAAUUACAUGCUUUUGCAGAAUCAUAAAUAAGCAGUGACAUCAAUGA